UACGAAGGGGGCUAGCGUUGCUCGGAAUCACUGGGCGUAAAGCGCACGUAGGCGGCUUUCUAAGUCAGGGGUGAAAUCCUGGAGCUCAACUCCAGAACUGCCUUUGAUACUGGAGAGCUUGAGUCCGGGAGAGGUGAGUGGAACUCCGAGUGUAGAGGUGAAAUUCGUAGAUAUUCGGAAGAACACCAACGGCGAAGGCAGCUCGCUGGGACGGUACUGACGCUGAGACGCGAAAGCGUGGGGAGCGAACAGG
Molecule: ribosomal RNA, 253 nt
Filed under: uncultured bacterium
Lineage: Bacteria
Description: partial 16S ribosomal RNA
Rfam family: Bacterial small subunit ribosomal RNA
Source: RNAcentral